This 236-nucleotide ribosomal RNA is filed under the name uncultured bacterium. RNAcentral describes it as "partial 16S ribosomal RNA". It matches the Rfam family "Bacterial small subunit ribosomal RNA", at positions 118 to 351 of the family's 1533-position model. The record is from RNAcentral.
UGGGCAACCUGCCCCCUCUCUCUGGGAUAAGCCUGGGAAACUGGGUCUAAUACCGGAUAUGACUCCUCAUCGCAUGGUGGGGGGUGGAAAGCUUUUUGUGGUUUUGGAUGGACUCGCGGCCUAUCAGCUUGUUGGUGAGGUAAUGGCCCACCAAGGCGACGACGGGUAGCCGGCCUGAGAGGGCGACCGGCCACACUGGGACUGAGAUACCGGCCCAGACUCCGUACGGGAGGCAG